Molecule: ribosomal RNA, 492 nt
Filed under: uncultured bacterium
Lineage: Bacteria
Description: partial 16S ribosomal RNA
Rfam family: Bacterial small subunit ribosomal RNA
Source: RNAcentral
AGUGAACGCUGGCGGUAGGCCUAACACAUGCAAGUCGAACGGCAGCACAGUAAGAGCUUGCUCUUACGGGUGGCGAGUGGCGGACGGGUGAGGAAUACAUCGGAAUCUACUUUUUCGUGGGGGAUAACGUAGGGAAACUUACGCUAAUACCGCAUACGACCUACGGGUGAAAGCAGGGGAUCUUCGGACCUUUCGCGAUUGAAUGAGCCGAUGUCGGAUUAGCUAGUUGGCGGGGUAAAGGCCCACCAAGGCGACGAUCCGUAGCUGGUCUGAGAGGAUGAUCAGCCACACUGGAACUGAGCCACGGUCCAGACUCCUACGGGAGGCAGCAGUGGGGAAUAUUGGACAAUGGGCGCAAGCCUGAUCCAGCCAUACCGCGUGGGUGAAGAAGGCCUUCGGGUUGUAAAGCCCUUUUGUUGGGAAAGAAAAGCAGCAGGUUAAUACCACGCUGUUCUGACGGUACCCAAAGAAUAAGCACCGGCUAACUUCGUG